Molecule: non-coding RNA, 93 nt
Organism: Mycena leptocephala
Lineage: Eukaryota; Fungi; Basidiomycota; Agaricomycetes; Agaricales; Mycenaceae
Source: the annotation of a GenBank genome assembly
GUCCACAUGGUGUAGUGGUAACACAUCCUUUCAAUAUGAUUGACCGCUCUAUGUUUACAAAGGAUGAUGUGGGUUCAACUCCCACUGUGGACA